Molecule: transfer RNA, 61 nt
Filed under: Ooceraea biroi (clonal raider ant)
Lineage: Eukaryota; Metazoa; Arthropoda; Insecta; Hymenoptera; Formicidae
Rfam family: tRNA
About the family: Transfer RNA (tRNA) molecules are approximately 80 nucleotides in length. Their secondary structure includes four short double-helical elements and three loops (D, anti-codon, and T loops).
Source: Rfam by way of RNAcentral
GGGAGUUCAACGGACAGAGCAGUCGCCCGGCAAGCGAAAGACCCGGGUUCGAUUCCCGGCC